GCUCCCGUGGUCCAGCCCGGUCAACGAUUUUGCCCUUUCGAGGCAAAGACCCGAGUUCAAAUCUCGGCGGGAGCG
RNAcentral lists this transfer RNA (75 nucleotides) under Nanobdellota archaeon. RNAcentral's name for it is "tRNA-Glu". It matches the Rfam family "tRNA". From Rfam's summary of the family: Transfer RNA (tRNA) molecules are approximately 80 nucleotides in length. Their secondary structure includes four short double-helical elements and three loops (D, anti-codon, and T loops). Lineage: Archaea; Nanobdellati; Nanobdellota. The record is from RNAcentral.